Molecule: ribosomal RNA, 501 nt
Filed under: uncultured bacterium
Lineage: Bacteria
Description: partial 16S ribosomal RNA
Rfam family: Bacterial small subunit ribosomal RNA
Source: RNAcentral
AUUGAACGCUGGCGGCAGGCUUAACACAUGCAAGUCGAGCGGGGGAAGGUAGCUUGCUACUGGACCUAGCGGCGGACGGGUGAGUAAUGCUUAGGAAUCUGCCUAUUAGUGGGGGACAACAUCUCGAAAGGGAUGCUAAUACCGCAUACGUCCUACGGGCGAAAGCAGGGGAUCUUCGGACCUUGCACUACUAGCUGAGCCUCAGUCGGAUUAGCUAGUUGGUGGGGUAAAGGCCUACCAAGGCGACGAUCUGUAGCGGGUCUGAGAGGAUGAUCCGCCACACUGGGACUGAGACACGGCCCAGACUCCUACGGGAGGCAGCAGUGGGGAAUAUUGGACAAUGGGGGGAACCCUGAUCCAGCCAUGCCGCGUGUGUGAAGAAGGCCUUAUGGUUGUAAAGCACUUUAAGCGAGGAGGAGGCUACUCUAGUUAAUACCUAGGGAUAGUGGACGUUACUCGCAGAAUAAGCACCGGCUAACUCUGUGCCAGCAGCCGCCGUAA